This 325-nucleotide ribosomal RNA is filed under the name uncultured eukaryote. Its description in RNAcentral is "partial 18S ribosomal RNA". It matches the Rfam family "Eukaryotic small subunit ribosomal RNA", at positions 1470 to 1796 of the family's 1831-position model. The record is from RNAcentral.
CCCUUAGAUGUUCUGGGCCGCACGCGCGCUACACUGACGAAUGCAACGAGCUUAUAACCUUGGCCGAAAGGUCUGGGUAAUCUCCAAAUUUCGUCGUGAUGGGGAUAGAUUAUUGCAAUUAUUAAUCUUCAACGAGGAAUGCCUAGUAAGCGCAAGUCAUCAGCUUGCGUUGAUUACGUCCCCGCCCUUUGUACACACCGCCCGUCGCACCUACCGAUUGAAUGGUUCGGUGAAGAUCUCGGACUUCGAUAUUUAUUCUUUAUUGAGUUUAUAUUGUGGGAAGUUAUCUAAACCUCAUCAUUUAGAGGAAGGUGAAGUCGUAACA